UUUGCCCUUCAGUGUGUCCUGUUACAUUCUCUAGCCUUGUGUCACUCCACAGUACUGGAAGUGAAACCCUGCUGGUGGCACCGGCCAUCUCCCCCCACAGUUUCCUAGCAAAGGAUGACAACAACAGCAGCGUGGAACGAGAACUGAUGGAUAGCCUUGUCUUCAUAACACCCAACCAAUCAAGACUUUCAGUACCUUGUCAUGGACAACAGUGGAGUAAACCGUGAUUUACUAACAUUGGAAACUGAAUCUCAGCGCUGAGUUGUAUUUCUGAACAGGGCUGCUUUCAACAGGAUGUGGCACUGUCUAAAAGGGGUUUAGAGAAGUCAAACGCUGCUCUCGCUCCCUGAAACAAGACCCUCUCGUGCAAAAGUGAAAGACUCUUCCUUAGUGGCCGUGUAUCCACCCACUGUCCUCUCCCAUGGCCCUGACUCACCAUGUCCUGCAUCCUCCACUUCCCAGCGAUGGGGCGUUCUGUUAACCAAGAGGAAGCACUGUGUGUAUUUAUAGACAUUUCUCGUAUGAGAAGUCUGAACAAUAACAAACCCCCACCCCCACAGCCACUUCACCACCACAACACAAAAUAAGGGGUGGAGAGGGGGGGUGCAGAUAGAAUCAAACUUUAGUUUCGCUGUUCGAUGAUGACAGGAAAAUAAAACUGAGAGCACUGCAGCAUAGUUACAGUUCACAAGGUGGUUUUGACAGCUAACAUAGAAUUGGGUGAUUUCAGUGUGACAG
This is a long non-coding RNA of Labeo rohita (rohu), 738 nucleotides long. RefSeq lists it as uncharacterized. The record is from RefSeq and is a predicted model, not a curated record. The transcript has 3 exons. Lineage: Eukaryota; Metazoa; Chordata; Actinopteri; Cypriniformes; Cyprinidae.